RNAcentral lists this transfer RNA (66 nucleotides) under Leptocimbex praiaformis. Its description in RNAcentral is "tRNA-Ala". The record is from RNAcentral. Lineage: Eukaryota; Metazoa; Arthropoda; Insecta; Hymenoptera; Cimbicidae.
AGGAUUAUAGUUAAAUAAAUAACAUUUGAAUUGCAAUCAAAAAUUAUAAAUAAGUAAUUAAUCUUA